GACGAACGCUGGCGGCGUGCUUAACACAUGCAAGUCGAACGGAAAGGCCCUGCUUUUGUGGGGUGCUCGAGUGGCGAACGGGUGAGUGACACGUGAGUAACCUGCCCUUGACUUUGGGAUAACUUCAGGAAACUGGGGCUAAUACCGGAUAGGAUCUCCUGCUGCAUGGUGGGGGUUGGAAAGUUUCGGCGGUUGGGGAUGGACUCGCGGCUUAUCAGCUUGUUGGUGGGGUAGUGGCUUACCAAGGCUUUGACGGGUAGCCGGCCUGAGAGGGUGACCGGCCACAUUGGGACUGAGAUACGGCCCAGACUCCUACGGGAGGCAGCAGUGGGGAAUAUUGCACAAUGGGCGGAAGCCUGAUGCAGCAACGCCGCGUGCGGGAUGACGGCCUUCGGGUUGUAAACCGCUUUCGCCUGUGACGAAGCGUGAGUGACGGUAAUGGGUAAAGAAGCACCGGCUAACUACGUG
RNAcentral lists this ribosomal RNA (468 nucleotides) under uncultured bacterium. RNAcentral describes it as "partial 16S ribosomal RNA". It matches the Rfam family "Bacterial small subunit ribosomal RNA", at positions 28 to 507 of the family's 1533-position model. The record is from RNAcentral.